This 854-nucleotide ribosomal RNA is filed under the name Juga silicula. Its description in RNAcentral is "partial 16S ribosomal RNA". It matches the Rfam family "Bacterial large subunit ribosomal RNA", at positions 1454 to 2569 of the family's 2925-position model. The record is from RNAcentral. Lineage: Eukaryota; Metazoa; Mollusca; Gastropoda; Semisulcospiridae.
GUGUCGGGGAAAAAUUUGAUUUAUAAUAUUAAUUAUUAUAUAUAGAUUAUUUUCCACUAAUUUUUCUGAGGAUAAGCUCAGAAAAAAGUUAAGAUAUUUUUAAUUAAAGUUGUUGCGUGGGCUUAAAAUUGGCCACCAUAAAAGUUUGUUAUAAAAUAAUAACUUUAAAUCUAAAAAUAAAUAUAUUUUGAUCUAACAUCUUACGGAGACAAGAACUUCAACUAAAGUAAGUUUUACGCCUAUGCUAGGAUGAGUAUUAAAAACAACUUUAUACAAGAAAAUCUUUUAUUUUUUUCUUCAGAAAAAAUAUUUGUAGAAAAAAAUUAAUUGGAAGGAACUCGGCAAAUUUAGUGCUUUCGCCUGUUUAUCAAAAACAUGGCUCUCUGUUUACAUAAAUAUAGGGAGUCGAGCCUGCCCAGUGAAUUUUUAAACGGCCGCGGUACUCUGACCGUGCAAAGGUAGCAUAAUCAUUUGCCUUAUAAUUGAAGGCUAGUAUGAAUGGUUUGACGAGAGCAACACUGUCUCCUUUUUAUUUUCAAGAACUUAACUUUUAGGUGAAGAGGCCUAAAUUUUAUUGAAGGACAAGAAGACCCUAUCGAGCUUAAAAGACAUUAUAGAAGUUUAUAUAUUUCUAAAUAAAUUUUCUAUUAAGCUUUUUAGUUGGGGCGACUAAGGAACAAAAAAAGCUUCUUGCUGAUAAUAGACAGUCAUGUUUAGAUCCGAUAAUAAUCGAUCAAAGAAAUUAGUUACCGUAGGGAUAACAGCAUAAUCUCUCUUGAGAGACCUAAUCGAAAGAGGGGGUUGUGACCUCGAUGUUGGACUAGAAUAUCCUAAAGAUGCAGAAGUCUUUGAAA